UACGUAGGGUCCGAGCGUUGUCCGGAAUUACUGGGCGUAAAGCGUGCGCAGGCGGCCCGCGAGGUGUCACGUGAAAGCCCCGGGCUCAACCCGGGAGGGUCGUGGCAAACCGGCGGGCUUGAGGCCGGUAGAGGUGGGUGGAACUCCUGGUGGAGUGGUGAAAUGCGUAGAGAUCAGGAAGAACACCAGUGGCGAAGGCGGCUCACUGGCCCGGAACUGACGCUGAGGUGCGAAAGCGUGGGGAGCAAACAGG
Molecule: ribosomal RNA, 253 nt
Filed under: uncultured bacterium
Lineage: Bacteria
Description: partial 16S ribosomal RNA
Rfam family: Bacterial small subunit ribosomal RNA
Source: RNAcentral